CAACCUCAAAUUAGGUGAGACUACCCGCUAAAUUUAAGCAUAUUAUUAAGCGGUGGAAAAGAAACUAACAAGGAUUACCAUAGUAGCUGCGAGCGAACUGGUAUAAGCCCAGCACUGAAUCAUUAGUACUACUACUAAUGAAAUGUAGUGUUUAAGCAAGGUUUAUAAAAUAUCAAAGUAUUGUAUUUUGUCCAAGUCUACCUUGAAUGGGGCCAUAGUCCAUAGAAGGUGCCAGGCCUGUAGUGGCAUUUACAUACUUUGAAGAAACCUUUCUUUAGAGUGCAACCUUAAGUGGGUGGUAAACUCCAUCUAAGGCUAAAUAUGACCAUGAGACCGAUAGCAAACAAGUACCGUGAGGGAAAGUUGAAAAGAACUUUGAAGAGAGAGUUCAAAAGUACGUGAAACCGUUUAGGAGUAAACGGAAAAGAAGUGAAAAUUCGAAAAGAGAGAUUCACGUCCUCACGUAUGAUCACAUGUUGUAAUUUAUUAGGAUGGUAAAUUGGUUUUAUAUUCUUGUAAUAUAAUUCUAUUUGUUGCCUAAUAAUUCUUUAUGAGGUCACGGUGGACCGCACUUCUCUCUAAGUAGGACGUCGCAACCCACUAACUUUUAAUUUAUGUUCAAGUUGAAAGUUUGUUUUGUUAAAAAUAACUUGUUUAUUUUUUAAACAAUCAAGCUGCUUGAAACUUAUUACAUAGUUGGUGGUAUAAAACGAUAGUGAUAAGUCGCUUUUAAAAGCGUUUAAAAAUUAUUAUAAAUUGUUCAAUUGUUAAAUAAGUCCUUGACUGUUUACAAUUAAUAGUUUAUUAAUAAUUAUAUAUAAACUUGGCUUACAACACUAGUUAGCGACGCUACAGUUUCACUAACUUUUCCGACCCGUCGAAACACCCAAGGAGUCUAACAUGUGCGCAAGUCAUUGGGUUAUAAAACCUAAAGGCAUAACAAAAGUAAAAAAGUAUUACUUUUAUAAGGAAGGAUAGUUAUUAAUUAAUUUUAAUAGCUCGCACUUCCGGGGCGUUUAUUAGUCAUUGCGAUUAAAGGCGCACCAAGAGCGUAUACGUUGGAACCCGAAAGAUGGUGAACUAUGCCUGGCCAGGAUGAAGCCAGGGGAAACCCUGGUGGAGGUCCGUAGCGAUUCUGACGUGCAAAUCGAUCGUCAGAGCUAGGUAUAGGGGCGAAAGACCAAUCGAACUAUCUAGUAGCUGGUUCCCUCCGAAGUUUCCCUCAGGAUAGCUGGUGCCCAUGAUGAUACGAGUCUCAUCCGGUAAAGCGAAUGAUUAGAGGCCUUGGGGCCGAAACGACCUCAACCUAUUCUCAAACUUUAAAUGGAUGAGAGCUCUGGCUUGCUUAAAAAUGAAGCCAGAGAAUUGGAUCUAGGUACCAAGUGGGCCAAUUUUGGUAAUGUGGGAUGAACCAAACGCUGAGUUAAGGCGCCCGAAUCGACGCUCAUGAGACACCAUAAAAGGCGUUAGUUGCUUAAGACAGUAGGACGGUGACCAUGGAAGUCGGAAUCCGCUAAGGAGUGUGUAACAACUCACCUGCCGAAGCAACUAGCCCUGAAAAUGGAUGGCGCUGAAGCGUCGUGCCUAUACUCAGCCGUCAACGACAAAUCAGGUAAUUAACAAAUUGUUAAUUAUACUAUUAUGUCUUGACGAGUAGGAGGGUCGUGACGAUGAGCGCAGAAGGGUUUGGGCGUAAGCCUGCCUGGAGCCGUCGUCAGUGCAGAUCUUGGUGGUAGUAGCAAAUACUCCAGCGAGAUCCUGGAGGACUGUUGUGGAGAAGGGUUUCUUGUGAACAGCUGUUGCACAAGAGUCAGUCGAUCCUAAGCUCUAUGAGAAAUCUCAAGUUGAUGAGUACCAUUAAAUAAAAAAUAAAUUAUGUUGGUGCUCAUUGAGCAAAAGGGAAUCCGGUUCCUAUUCCGGAACCUGGCAGCGGAACCGUUUCAAAUCGGACCCUCGUACGAUGGUUCGUCGGGGUAACCCAAAAGGACCCGGAGACGCCGUUGGAAGGUUCGGGGAGAGUUGUCUCUUCUCUAUAAGCGUUCGAGUUCCCUGGAAUCCUCUAGCAGGGAGAUAGGGUUUGGAACGCAAAGAGCACCGCAGUUACGGCGGUGUCCGAAUCUUAACUUCGGACCUUGAAAAUCCGGGAGAGGGCCACGAGGAAACCCGCGCCAGAUCGUACCCAUAUCCGCAGCAGGUCUCCAAGGUGAAUAGCCUCUAGUCGAUAGAAUAAUGUAGGUAAGGGAAGUCGGCAAGUUCGAUCCGUAACUUCGGGAUAAGGAUUGGCUCUGAGGAUCGUGGCGUGCCGGGCUUGGUCGGGAAGUGGAGCGGUGUCAACGAGCCGGGCCUGGGCGAGGUACAUGACUUUGUUAUGGAACUGAGCUCGGUCCCGUGCCUUGGCCACCCACGGAUCUUCCUUGCUGUGGACACUUAAUUGUCUAGUUGCAGGUCUUGACCUGUAAACGGAUUGCUUGUCUUUUCGGCCGCCAUUCAACGAUCAACUCAGAACUGGCACGGACUUAGGGAAUCCGACUGUCUAAUUAAAACAAAGUAUUGCGAUGGCCCCAAAUGGGUGCUGACGCAAUAUGAUUUCUGCCCAGUGCUCUGAAUGUCAACGUGAAGAAAUUCAAGUAAGCGCGGGUAAACGGCGGGAGUAACUAUGACUCUCUUAAGGUAGCCAAAUGCCUCGUCAUCUAAUUAGUGACGCGCAUGAAUGGAUUAACGAGAUUCCCAAUCUGUCCCUACCUACUAUCUAGCGAAACCACUGCCAAGGGAACGGGCUUGGAAAAAUCAGCGGGGAAAGAAGACCCUGUUGAGCUUGACUCUAGUCUGGUACUGUAAGGAGACAUGAGAGGUGUAGCAUAAGUGGGAGGUAAUUGAAAGAUUACCAACAGUGAAAUACCACUACUCUCAUUGUUUCCUUACUUAUUCGAUCAGGCGGAAGGCGUCGGCCGAGGGUGUUAAACCCCGGUUAGACGGUCUUCUUGUGCCAAGCGUUGGGGUUGUCGGACGUCCAGCUAUAUGUUUUGGUCAUAUUAGUGAGCAUCUGAUUCCUUGUGUUUCAGAUUGUUCACUAUUUGUCAAUUCAUUUUAGUUGUGACAACCGUCAACAUAUUCCCCAACGUGAUCCGAUUCGAAGACACUAUCAGGCCGGUAGUUUGACUGGGGCGGUACAUCUGUCAAAAAAUAACGCAGGUGUCCUAAGGCCAGCUCAGCGAGGACAGAAACCUCGCGUAGAGCAAAAGGGCAAAUGCUGGCUUGAUCCCGAUGUUCAGUAUGCAUAGGGACUGCGAAAGCAUGGCCUAUCGAUCCUUUUAGCCUGAAGAGUUUUCAGCAAGAGGUGUCAGAAAAGUUACCACAGGGGUAACUGGCUUGUGGCGGCUAAGCGUUCAUAGCGACGUCGCUUUUUGAUCCUUCGAUGUCGGCUCUUCCUAUCAUUGCGAAGCAGAAUUCGCCAAGCGUCGGAUUGUUCACCCGCCAAUAGGGAACGUGAGCUGGGUUUAGACCGUCGCGAGACAGGUUAGUUUUACCCUACUGAUAAUAGUUUUUGCGGUAGUAAUCCUGCUUAGUACGAGAGGAACCGCAGGUUUGGACAUUUGGUACAUGCACUCGGCCGACAGGCCGGUGGUGCGAUGCUACCAUCCAUGGGAUUAUGCCUGAACGCCUCUAAGGCCGAAUCCUUUCUAAUAUGCAAUUAUUUAUAUAAGGACAAUGUUAGUCAAAAGGCUUAAACAACGUGUUUGUUUAGGUAGUCAAACAAUUGUUUGGCUAUCGCAUAUGCCUAUUGAGUUAAUUUACCCUUGUAUGGGGCGGCAUUAAACCUGAUUUAAUGACCGGUCCUGGUUAAUUAAUGUUCAAUGGGUUACCCCUUUAGGGGACUUUGACAACAUUGCCCGGAAUCGUUUGUAAACGACCUGAAAACUGAGCAGGGUGUUGUACUCGGUAG
Molecule: ribosomal RNA, 3943 nt
Filed under: Hypsipteryx sp. UCR ENT 00112812
Lineage: Eukaryota; Metazoa; Arthropoda; Insecta; Hemiptera; Hypsipterygidae
Description: partial large subunit ribosomal RNA
Rfam family: Eukaryotic large subunit ribosomal RNA
Source: RNAcentral